AUUACUCCUACGGGAGGCAGCAGUGGGGAAUUUUGGACAAUGGGGGCAACCCUGAUCCAGCCAUUCCGCGUGAGUGAAGAAGGCCUUCGGGUUGUAAAGCUCUUUCGCAAGGGAAGAAAACUUAUGAUCGAAUAAAUCAUGAGGUUGACGGUACCUUGAUAAGAAGCACCGGCUAACUACGUGCCAGCAGCCGCGGUAA
This 199-nucleotide ribosomal RNA is filed under the name uncultured Methylophilus sp. RNAcentral's name for it is "partial 16S ribosomal RNA". It matches the Rfam family "Bacterial small subunit ribosomal RNA", at positions 332 to 523 of the family's 1533-position model. Lineage: Bacteria; Pseudomonadati; Pseudomonadota; Betaproteobacteria; Nitrosomonadales; Methylophilaceae. The record is from RNAcentral.